CAGUAGCCACGGUAAGACAGAGGAUGCAAGCGUUAUCCGGAAUUACUGGGCGUAAAGCGCGCGUAGGUGGUUUGUUAAGUUGGAUGUGAAAUCCCCGGGCUCAACCUGGGAACUGCAUCCAAAACUGGCAAGCUAGAGUAUGGUAGAGGGUGGUGGAAUUUCCUGUGUAGCGGUGAAAUGCGUAGAUAUAGGAAGGAACACCAGUGGCGAAGGCGACCACCUGGACUGAUACUGACACUGAGGUGCGAAAGCGUGGGGAGCAAACAGGAUUAGAUACCCGGGUAGUCCCUGUCUCUUAUAC
This 301-nucleotide ribosomal RNA is filed under the name uncultured bacterium. RNAcentral describes it as "partial 16S ribosomal RNA". It matches the Rfam family "Bacterial small subunit ribosomal RNA", at positions 509 to 807 of the family's 1533-position model. The record is from RNAcentral.